CGAGCCUUACACUGUUUAGCAGAUUUACGAACGAGAAGCGAAGAGAUUCGAGCCCAUUGAUUCUUCCCAUAUUUCAUCACCGCCGCUUUGAGAAUCUCAUCCUCCGUGUUCUUCCACACACCACCUUUUAUCAUAAUCCUCAUCUUGCCUCCUUUUUAUUUAACUACCACUCUGUUUCUUCAAAAUUCUAGGGUUUCGACGGCUGAAACAAAUAUGAAGGUUUGAGAUUGAUAGCCAACGCUCUCAAUCUAUAUUCUUAGGGUUUUCCCUUAUCGUGGAUUUACUGUAUUGGUCGCAAUUGGAUAAGACAAAAGUAAGAAAGGCCAUGAUAGUGAUGACCGUAAUGGCGACGAAGCAGCGAGUGAAGAUACCGUAAUGAAACAAAGAAACGGCGACAAAUUGGCAAUUUAUCGGCAACUAUAUUAUAAAAAAGCUAAAAUGGAACGAAAGCAACCAAAAAAUAGGGUGACCGGCAAUGAGCAGCGACUUAGGGAUGCAGGAAAAAGAGACAAAGCUUUAGGGUUGAAGUAAGGAUGGAGGUAGAUUCGCCGACAAGAUAAACGGCGGAGCUUGUUAUAAGUUAACUGAGAAAACUCAUAACGAUCCUGCCGUGAGAGGC
Molecule: unclassified non-coding RNA, 619 nt
Filed under: Hevea brasiliensis (rubber tree)
Lineage: Eukaryota; Viridiplantae; Streptophyta; Magnoliopsida; Malpighiales; Euphorbiaceae
Source: RNAcentral